UACGUAGGGGGCAAGCGUUGUCCGGAUUUACUGGGUGUAAAGGGCGCGCAGGCGGGUUUGCAAGUCAGUGGUGAAAGCCUACAGCUUAACUGUAGAACUGCCAUUGAUACUGCAGAUCUUGAGUACGGAAGAGAGAGACGGAAUUCCAGGUGUAGUGGUGAAAUACGUAGAUAUCUGGAAGAACACCAGUUGCGAAGGCGGUCUCUUGGUCCGAUACUGACGCUGAGGCGCGAAAGCGUGGGGAGCAAACAGG
RNAcentral lists this ribosomal RNA (253 nucleotides) under uncultured bacterium. RNAcentral's name for it is "partial 16S ribosomal RNA". It matches the Rfam family "Bacterial small subunit ribosomal RNA", at positions 524 to 776 of the family's 1533-position model. The record is from RNAcentral.